This 253-nucleotide ribosomal RNA is filed under the name uncultured bacterium. RNAcentral's name for it is "partial 16S ribosomal RNA". It matches the Rfam family "Bacterial small subunit ribosomal RNA", at positions 524 to 776 of the family's 1533-position model. The record is from RNAcentral.
UACGUAGGGUGCAGGCGUUAAUCGGAAUUACUGGGCGUAAAGCGUGCGCAGGCGGUUUCUUAAGUCAGAUGUGAAAGCCCCGGGCUUAACCUGGGAACUGCGUUUGAAACUGGGAGACUUGAGUGUGGCAGAGGGGGGUGGAAUUCCACGUGUAGCAGUGAAAUGCGUAGAUAUGUGGAGGAACACCGGUGGCGAAGGCAGCCCCCUGGGUUAACACUGACGCUCAUGCACGAAAGCGUGGGGAGCAAACAGG